RNAcentral lists this ribosomal RNA (435 nucleotides) under Triticum aestivum (bread wheat). RNAcentral's name for it is "partial small subunit ribosomal RNA". The record is from RNAcentral. Lineage: Eukaryota; Viridiplantae; Streptophyta; Magnoliopsida; Poales; Poaceae.
AUGUCUCGAACCCAGCCACCUCCCCGUCCUUUUCCGCUCUUUAUUAAAAAAGAAAAGGAAAAAAAAUCUACGGACAGUUUCGACGGCGAACGGCGGCAUGGUGCUCAGCGGGUUGACUUGGUCUUGGGCGGCGCCGUCGUUGCUGUUGGCGGUGCAGACUCAGCGGCGCGGUGCUCGGUGGUAGUAGGUGGCAUCGGCGGUGUGGUGAGUUCUUUGGGUUCCUCAGUGCCGGGCAACGCGGGGGCUAAAUCGACUGCGACCGCUUCAUGCUCAACAACGGCCAUGACGGCACUGCUCCAUCUCGCGGGCUACGGCGGCAGUGCUCCAUCUAGCAGGCUAUGGCGGCGUCACGGUGAGCUCUCCACACUCUGGUUCAUUGCCAGGAUUUAUUCCCCGGUAUUUCUCCUCCCAUCCCCUCUCAAUCCAGAAUUCUAA